This 5398-nucleotide long non-coding RNA is filed under the name Sus scrofa (pig). RNAcentral describes it as "lncRNA (ENSSSCG00025036666.1)". Lineage: Eukaryota; Metazoa; Chordata; Mammalia; Artiodactyla; Suidae. The record is from RNAcentral.
GAGAAGGAGCCAGACAGGCGAGGAGCUGAGGAAAUGCAGUCCAGGCAAAUGGAAGAGCCUGCAGGAUGGUCUCAAGGCAGGAGAAGCUUGGUGCAUCUGAAUUGUCAGAGGGCUGUUGUGCCCGGAGUUGUCAACGAUGGGGAGACUGAACCAUUUUGGUAGGGUUGCCAAGAUCAUGCAGAGCCUGAGUACAAUGCUCAGAGUUUAUUCUAAAUGAAAUGAGAAGCCAGUAAAGAAUUUAAAAUGGGGGAAAACAAGAUAUAAUUUUUGUUUGAAAAGAUUACUCUGGCCAGCCUGUGAAAUAACGACUGUAGGUGGGCUAGCAUUGAAGCAGGAAGGUCCAGUUGGAAAGCUUUGGCAGUAGUCUUAAAUGAUGGAUCAUGGCGGUUUGGAUGAAGGAGGGGACAGUGAAGACAGGGAAGAGAGAAUGUAUUCAAGACACACUUUGGAGGCUGCCACCAUUGCCAUGAAAAGGACAUGCCAGGAGAAGCAGCCUGAAUCCCAGAAUGAGGACCUGUGAAGCUGAACCCCCACCCCCACCCCAGCUGACCCAUGGUCCCACAGUCAAGACAGAGCUGCCCCAGCUGAGCCACAGAUUGAUGACAACGAUUCACAGGAGCCAGUGGAGGAAGCCAAGUCCCCAGAAGAUGGUAGAACCACAUCUUCUAGGAAAGAACCUGGAUCCCUAAAUAACUAUGUGGAACACAGCCCUUGCUGCAACUUGCAAUUAACUGUGAUAUUAGCAAGUUAUACUAGUUAAGUAUACUAAGUUAUAUAUAUACUAUGUUAAGUCUUCAAGGUUGUUUGUUGCAGUCAUUAGUAUUAUUUGCCCUAGUUAAUACAUGGUCAGAGAUUAUUAGGUAGGAAAUAACAGGCUUUCUCUAAUUAUGUAAAUUAAAUAUUCAUCUACUUCAGUUUUGAUGUUUGGAUCUUUUCAUCUUCCCAGUUCUGAAACCUAUCUUAGUCAUUAGCAGUGAUUCUGGCCAAGGGUGGGGCUGGUGGAAGAUAGAGGCAUCAGGGUAGAUGGAGCCCUCAGACCCAAAUUUUUAUAAAAGCUACACAUCUCAUUCUUUGCCUUCUCUUGCCCAAUACCUGACGAAAACUUAGAAAGCAGAGCUAAAGUAAAAGGUGAGAGCAGAAGAGAAACAAUGGCAAUGACACCUAGACCAAUUUUUCCUUGGAUUGACCCAGAAUUGAUGGAAUGAGGGAGGCUUAGAUGUUGCUGCCUAUGCCUAUGUAACAUCCAGAAUUUUGCUGCCUUCAUACCCUGAACACAAAAGCUAGCCAGCCACAGGCUAGAGAUGUUACCAUGUUAAGGGCAAGACUAUAGAAUUCUUGCCCCUGCAGAAUAAGCCGUCAUUGAGGAAGGACCAUAGAUAGUAGCAGGACAUUCUCUGCUCUGGAGAAGACAGAGUCACUUUCCGCAUAGCAUAAGGGGCUCUACAUUCAGGAGAGGCUGAGAAAUCAUGGUGAUGAGCUGAGUUAAAUAAAUGGGUGGCAAACAUCUGACUCUCAUUUGUAAAUGAUUCUUGAGCAAGGAUUGCAAACUCAAAGGCCUCCCCAAGGCUAGGCUUGGACAGGAAAUACAAAUGUGUAAAGAAUGUGAGGUGUUUUCCUUUGUAUGUUAGACUUGGUUUUUUACUUCCCCACUUUCUAUAGAAAUGUGGACUCGGGAAUAUUUCACCUUCCUCUAUAUUUUAAGGAAAACAUCCACACACACACAAAAAUGAAAAUGGCAGCGAUGCACUCAUUUCCGUAGGGAGGCAUUAAGGAGUAGCAGAGGCUGUGGCAAAGUAAAGAGCACACGACCUCCUGAUGUAGCAGGUCCUGCCCUGGGGACCAGCAGGAUUUAAUCUAUCUGGGAUGAUGAGCCCAACAUUUCUGAAUCUUUAGUUUUUUUCCAUAAAAUCUGGACAUAGAAAAUACACUAAACUAUUUUUAUGUGAUACCAUAUAUAUAUAUAUAAGACAUUAUGUGAGCUAAUAUUUUGUAGGUGAAACAGAACAACUCUAUAGAUUUGAUUGAGCUGAGAAGCUGCCCAUUUUCAACCUCUGCCAUACAAGCUAAUCCAGCCUUAGUGACCUCCAUUUCUUGGUAAGGGUGCAGAUAAGGUGAAAGAAAACUGGAAAUAUUCCUUCUCUACAAAGUUCCUAGGACCAGUUUUAUGAUCUGGAACUUGUGUGACUAUAGCAGCUCAAAAAAUGUAAUGCAAGUCAUAUACAUAAUUUCAAGUCUUCUAGAAGCCACGUGAAAAGACUAAAAAGAAACAGAUACAAUUAACUUUAGUAAUACAUCUUAUUGAGCACAAUAUAAUCAAAAUAUUUCAAUGACAUGUUUUACACUCAUAUGUUUUUACUAUAUAUACUUUUUUGAAAUCCAUACUUUUUUAUCCUUCAGCACAUGAUACUUUAGACUAGCCACAUGUCUAGUGUUCAGUGGCCACAUGUGGCUGCUGGCUUCUGUAUAAGAUAAUACAGGUCUGGUGCUGCUUUAGGAGGACAUUAUACCUGGGGUUUGAACAAACAACUCACAGGAAUCAUUGAAUGCAGUUCUUUCAAAGUGUGGUCAUUCACAAUAAAGAUUUCUGAGAUCUCACCUUCAAAGGCUGUGAUUUGGAAGCUCAGAGAUUAAGGCCGAGGAAUUGGCAUUGUUAAUGGGCAAUCCCAUUGGUACCAAGACAAGGUGAAAUUUGAGAAACACUGCCUUCUGGCCAUGGCAUAGACUUUGUUUUGUAUUUAUUAAUGUAUUUUGGCCUGAAUAAUUUUAUCAACUCAGAAUAAACCAGAAGUUGAUUAUUGCUAUGGAAUCAGAGCCAUGGUUGCUAUCAGCCAAUAAUUAUUAAAUCUCUCUUCCACCUGUGCAGUCUGAAACACAUCAGGGCAACUCUCCCUCCUGGAAUAGAUUCUCCAUCUGAAACAAAAGCGGUGGCCCUCACCUAGUGCAUUGCUCCUCUUGGGGAUAAACCCUCUAUAAAUGGAAGUUUUGAGGCUGCCCUUUCUCUCUUGGAUUCAUCAUUAUGGUUUCUGAGCUUCAAAUCUUGACUUUUUUUUUUUUUUUUAUAUUUGGUGGUGCCUCCAGGAUACAGAAUUUCCUGGGCCAGGCAUCCAAUCCGAGCUACAGCAAUGACAAGGCCAGAUUCUUAAUGGCUGGGCCACCAGGGAACUCUACCAUUGUUUCAUUUGGACUGCAAAUGGACAGGGCUACAUUUUAGUUGCUAUGCCUAGAUUCCCUGGUAUAUUUCUCCACCUGGAUAUUUUUGACUUGGUACAAGAUGUGGAAGGACAUCAGAUGACCAAGAGCCCCUGUGUGACCAAACUACAGAGGUGGAGUCCCAGAAUCACUCUGCCCAGCCCCCCACGCACGUUCCUGCUGGAAGCUUACAGCCAAAUUUCCAGGCCUGCCCAUACAGCGCUUUCUUUGAGGGUGGAGGAUUCUGGUAUCCCCUUUAUCCUGGGACGUUCAGAAGCUUUACCAACUAUUUGAAAGUAUUACAGCACAGUAUCUUAAGCAAUUUUUUAAAUGCUUUGUCACUAAUUCCCCAGGGAGAGAUGACAGGUGAUUUUAAAUAUUUGACAGUGAGGGAAAUGAAAUCUGCCUGAGCCCCUGCCGGUGGUGGAGCAGGGGGAGGAAGCAGCGUUGGCAGCAAAGGGACCGGUUCCAGGGGUGCUGUGGGGGAGGGGGAUGCAGCCCUGGAUGUUGGCCUGCUCCUUCCACUUUCCUCCUCUCUCCCCUCCCCCUCUUCCUGUUGCUACUCCUACUUCCUGUUAUUAUGUAUCUUCCUGUCAGUUUCCCCGUGGCGCCCCACCCCCUACCCCAGUCAGGUCACAGGAAAUCUAAGCUCCUGAAAGACAAUUCUAUGAUACUAAUUACAUGUCUGGAAAAUGAUGCCCCAGUCUGCAGGUGGUACCCGCUAACAGCAAUCACUAUUACUAUUAUUAUUGUUAUUGUUAUAUUCUCACUGUAGCUUUCCAGGACUGAAUUAUCUUCCUUUGGUUUUGUUGCCAGGCUUUGUGUGCCUUCAUUUGCUUUUUGAUAAGGCAUUUUUCUUAUUCCUGUAUGCCUCCCUUUUUAUUCUUUACCCAGAGUUAAAUGUAGCAAAAAGAAUGCUCAGAUAGAUUAAGAGGCUCAGGAAAUAAAAGGUUGCUUUCAAUCCAAGCAGCAUUGAGUGACAGAAAUAUUAAUGAAAGGUGUGACAUUUUAAUGAUGUUCACACAAAUAUUUGAGGGCCUAUUAUGUGCCAGGCACUCCUCCAGGUUCUGCAGAUACACCAGUGAAUAGGACUGAAAAAAGUCUGUCCUUCUACUGCAGGAGGCAGACAAUAAAUAAGUUAUAAGCAAAACAUGUACCUGAGGUGAUAAAUGCCAUGGGAAAGGAGGGAGAGGGCAAGAGAGGGCUGGUGGGUGGUUCCAAUUUUAAUUAAGGUGUUUGGUAAAAACUUACUAAGUGACCUUUGAGCAAUGUUGACACCUUGGGACUUAAAAAACUCUUUUGCUUAGUAAAGCUUAUAAAAAAUGAUAGUAGAUGGACUUUAUAGUUUUAAAAUGUCACAUAUACAGUCGCUAAAUAUAAGCUUGUUCCUGGAAGACACCACCCCACUCUUGGAUUUUAUGACUUUGACCAUUUUAGCUCUCUAACGUCAAGUGGAGUAAUGCAGUAUUUAUUUUUUCUGUGACUGACUUCUUUUCCUUAGGAUAAUGCCCCCUACAUCCAUCCAUGUCACAAAUGGCAGAAGUUCCUCCUUUUUUAAGAAAGAAUAAUAUUCCACUGUAUGUAGCUGCCAGUUACUUUAUUCAUUCAUCCGUUGAUGGACAUUUACGUUGUUUUCACAUCUUGGCUAUUGUGUAUAAUACUGCAAUGAACGUGUAAGUGCUAAUAUCUCUUUGAGAUCCUGUUUUCAAUACUUUUGGAUAACUACCUAGAAGUGGGAUUGGUGGGUCACCAGGUAGCUCUAUUUUUAAGUUGUUGAGGCUCUGUCAUACUGUUUUCCAUAGAAACUGUAUAACUUUGCAUUCCCAUCCAUAGUGUACAAGGAGUUUCUUUUCUCCAUAUCCUCACCAACACUUGUCUUUUUGGGGGGGGGGAAUAAUAGGCAUCCUUACAGGUAUGAGGUGAUAUCUCAUCAUGGUUUUGCUUUGCAUUUCUCUGAUGAUUAGUGACAUUGAGCAAUCUUUUCAUAUACCUAUCAGCCUUUUGCAUAUCUUUCUUGAAGAAAUGUUUACUCAAAUUCUUAGUCCAUUUUUAAAUCAGGUGGUUAGGUUUUUUGCUUUUUGCUAUUGAGUUGUAAAAGUUUAUGUAUUUUAGAGAUUAAGCCUGUAUCAGAUAUAUAAUUCACAAAUAUUUUCUCCUAUUCUGUGGGUUGCUUUUUCACUGUCAAUUGCUUCUUUUUCAAUAAAAAAAA